RNAcentral lists this transfer RNA (76 nucleotides) under Candidatus Zambryskibacteria bacterium CG_4_9_14_3_um_filter_40_16. RNAcentral describes it as "tRNA-Thr". It matches the Rfam family "tRNA". Rfam says of the family: Transfer RNA (tRNA) molecules are approximately 80 nucleotides in length. Their secondary structure includes four short double-helical elements and three loops (D, anti-codon, and T loops). Further hydrogen bonds mediate the characteristic L-shaped molecular structure. tRNAs have two regions of fundamental functional importance: the anti-codon, which is responsible for specific mRNA codon recognition, and the 3' end, to which the tRNAs corresponding amino acid is attached (by aminoacyl-tRNA synthetases). tRNAs cope with the degeneracy of the genetic code in two manners: having more than one tRNA (with a specific anti-codon) for a particular amino acid; and 'wobble' base-pairing, i.e. permitting non-standard base-pairing at the 3rd anti-codon position. The record is from RNAcentral. Lineage: Bacteria; Candidatus Zambryskiibacteriota.
GCCAAUGUAGCUCAGUUGGUAGAGCACCCCCAUGGUAAGGGGGAGGUCAUCGGUUCAAUCCCGAUCAUUGGCUCCA